UACAGAGGUCUCAAGCGUUGUUCGGAUUCAUUGGGCGUAAAGGGUGCGUAGGCGGCGCGGUAAGUCGGGUGUGAAAUCUCGGAGCUUAACUCCGAAACUGCAUUCGAUACUGCCGUGCUUGAGGACUGGAGAGGAGACUGGAAUUUACGGUGCAGCGGUGAAAUGCGUAGAUAUCGUAAGGAAGACCAGUGGCGAAGGCGGGUCUCUGGACAGGUAUUGACGCUGAGGUGCGAAAGCGUGGGGAGCAAACAGG
RNAcentral lists this ribosomal RNA (253 nucleotides) under uncultured bacterium. RNAcentral describes it as "partial 16S ribosomal RNA". It matches the Rfam family "Bacterial small subunit ribosomal RNA", at positions 524 to 776 of the family's 1533-position model. The record is from RNAcentral.